Molecule: small RNA, 87 nt
Filed under: Serratia nevei
Lineage: Bacteria; Pseudomonadati; Pseudomonadota; Gammaproteobacteria; Enterobacterales; Yersiniaceae
Description: partial RtT sRNA
Rfam family: RtT RNA
About the family: This family represents a bacterial cis-regulatory element known as RtT RNA.
Source: RNAcentral
UUCGUCUGUCGUUUAUGAGGAUGAGCACCUCCGCAGGAGGUUCGAGCCUCGCGAAGCGAGACAACGUUGCUUCAGCAACGGCCCGCA